This 474-nucleotide ribosomal RNA is filed under the name Parahubrechtia rayi. Its description in RNAcentral is "Parahubrechtia sp. r NEP-2021 partial large subunit ribosomal RNA". It matches the Rfam family "Bacterial large subunit ribosomal RNA", at positions 1817 to 2597 of the family's 2925-position model. The record is from RNAcentral. Lineage: Eukaryota; Metazoa; Nemertea; Palaeonemertea; Tubulaniformes; Tubulanidae.
AGCUUGUUGAAUUUUUAUCAAGUAUUUUCUGCCCGGUGAUUUUUUAACGGCCGCGGUAUUUUGACCGUGCAAAGGUAGCAUAAUCAUUUGUUUCUUAAUUGGGGACUGGAAUGAAUGGAUUCACGUGAAAAUAUUUGUCUCAUUGCUUUUAUUUGAAAUUUCUUUAUAUGUGAAGAAGCAUAUAUAAGAUUAAGGGACGAGAAGACCCUAUUGAGUUUUAUUCUUAUUUACAAUUCUUUUAUUUUUUUUAUUGUCUUAAUUGAAUUUAGUUGGGGCAACUUAAGAGGAUAAAAUUCUCUUUUUUAUAUUUUGAUCCAAUAUUAUUGAAUCAAGACUAAAUUACCAUAGGGAUAACAGCGUUAUUUUUCUAGAGAGUUCUUAUCGAUAGAUUAGAUUGCGACCUCGAUGUUGGACUAAAAUUUCCUAAAUGUGUAGCAGCUUUUAACGGUAGGUCUGUUCGACCUUUAAUAUUUU